AUAGUUGGUAAUUGUUUCAUCACAGAAAGAAUUAUGAAGUGUUCGCUGCUUUUGCUUUGUUUGAUGUGGAGUGCUGUUUAUUGCAAUGGAAGAAAGGCACCGGCUCACACACGCAACUUACCGAAAAUGCAGACGUCAGCUCAUCAGAUUACUGGCGUUUCUGCUCAGUUGUACAAUCAAGCAAUGAAAGAACGUAAAGAUUUAUUGUUCGAUGUUCUGGAAAGCAAUCGCUUGGAUUGAUGUAUUGUUUGCCCAACAAUGAAUUUCGAAAACAAAAUAAAAGAAAUAGACGAAUUACA
Non-coding RNA from Ciona intestinalis (vase tunicate), 299 nucleotides. The record is from RefSeq and is a predicted model, not a curated record. Lineage: Eukaryota; Metazoa; Chordata; Ascidiacea; Phlebobranchia; Cionidae.